Non-coding RNA from Styela clava, 545 nucleotides. Lineage: Eukaryota; Metazoa; Chordata; Ascidiacea; Stolidobranchia; Styelidae. The record is from RefSeq and is a predicted model, not a curated record.
CUAAUUAGCGAUUUCAUCCACUCUACGCGCGGGAAGCACAAGCGACAACGCCCCAGUAGCAAAUUUACACGAUGGAGUGCGGUCGAUUUUGUGUGUGGUUGGGGCUGGAAUAUUACUCUUUAUCAGUUUGUCUCUUUGGAAUAAUAUUCAGAUGCAGAACUGUUGUUGAUGUUGAAAUUGCAGAUGCGAAAACACGAUGUAACGAAACCGAGGGAAAAUCUACAGCUUUCUUAAACCCUUGUUAGAAGUUGACAAGGCAGUAUACUACUUCACCAAGAGAAAUUCGUCUGAGUGAGAUAGAAGCCUAUCAAGUCCAGCAAAGCAACUUUCCCCAACACUGAUUGAAAGUUAGCAAGACAGUACAUCAUUUCAUCAAAAGUAUUGCCUCGUCAUUUGCCUGGUAUUCAUCACUGAUUGAGAUAAAAGCCUAUCGAGUCUGGUCAGAAAAGUAACCUUUUAAUUAAGAGACUGCUUGAACGUUAGAAAGACAGUACAUCACUUUAAUCAAAAGAAUUUCGUCGUGGUCAAUUGUCUGGUAUUCAUCA